CUUGGUGACGAAAGCGGCAGUGGUACACCUGGUCACAUCCCGAACCCAGUAGUUAAGGCUGUCAGCGACGAUGGUACUUGGGGGGUAGCCCCCUGGGAGAGUAGUUCAUUGCCAAGA
Molecule: ribosomal RNA, 117 nt
Filed under: Nitrospiraceae bacterium
Lineage: Bacteria; Pseudomonadati; Nitrospirota; Nitrospiria; Nitrospirales; Nitrospiraceae
Source: RNAcentral